Molecule: ribosomal RNA, 392 nt
Filed under: uncultured bacterium
Lineage: Bacteria
Description: bacterial SSU rRNA
Rfam family: Bacterial small subunit ribosomal RNA
Source: RNAcentral
GAUGAACGCUAGCGGCAGGCCUAACACAUGCAAGUCGAACGGUAACAUGAGUAGCAAUACUUGAUGACGAGUGGCGCACGGGUGCGUAACGCGUAUGCAACUUACCUCUAACUGGAGAAUAGCCUUCCGAAAGGAAGAAUAAUACUCCAUAAUAUUACGAUGUGGCAUCACAUUGUUCUUAAAGCUUCGGCGGUUAGAGAUGGGCAUGCGUCUGAUUAGCUUGUUGGUGAGGUAACGGCUCACCAAGGCAACGAUCAGUAGGGGGCCUGAGAGGGUUAUCCCCCACACUGGUACUGAGACACGGACCAGACUCCUACGGGAGGCAGCAGUGAGGAAUAUUGGACAAUGGGCGCAAGCCUGAUCCAGCCAUGCCGCGUGAGUGAAGAAGGCCU